UACGUAGGUGGCAAGCGUUGUCCGGAUUUAUUGGGUUUAAAGGGCCAGUAGGCGGCCAACUAAGUCCGACGUGAAAUCCCAAGGCUUAACCUUGGAACUGCGUCGGAUACUGGAUGGCUUGAAUUCGGGAGAGGGAUGCAGAAUUCCAGGUGUAGCGGUGAAAUGCGUAGAUAUCUGGAGGAAUACCGGUGGCGAAGGCGGCAUCCUGGACCGACAUUGACGCUGAACGGCGAAAGCUAGGGGAGCAAACGGG
RNAcentral lists this ribosomal RNA (253 nucleotides) under uncultured bacterium. RNAcentral describes it as "partial 16S ribosomal RNA". It matches the Rfam family "Bacterial small subunit ribosomal RNA", at positions 524 to 776 of the family's 1533-position model. The record is from RNAcentral.